Molecule: ribosomal RNA, 478 nt
Filed under: uncultured bacterium
Lineage: Bacteria
Description: partial 16S ribosomal RNA
Rfam family: Bacterial small subunit ribosomal RNA
Source: RNAcentral
GACGAACGCUGGCGGCGUGCUUAACACAUGCAAGUCGAACGGUAAGGCCCUUCGGGGUACACGAGUGGCGAACGGGUGAGUAACACGUGGGUGAUCUGCCCUGCACUUCGGGAUAAGCCUGGGAAACUGGGUCUAAUACCGGAUAGGACCACUGCCUGCAUGGGUGGUGGUGGAAAGCUUUUGCGGUGUGGGAUGGGCCCGCGGCCUAUCAGCCUGUUGGUGGGGUGAUGGCCUACCAAGGCGACGACGGGUAGCCGGCCUGAGAGGGUGACCGGCCCCACUGGGACUGGGAUACGGCCCAGGCUCCUACGGGAGGCAGCAGUGGGGAAUAUUGCACAAUGGGCGCAAGCCUGAUGCAGCGACGCCGCGUGAGGGAUGACGGCCUUCGGGUUGUAAACCUCUUUCAGCACCGACGAAGCGCAAGUGACGGUAGGUGCAGAAGAAGGACCGGCCAACUACGUGCCAGCAGCCGCCGUAA